GUGCGAGCGUUAAUCGGAAUUACUGGGCGUAAAGCGUGCGCAGGCGGUUUGGUAAGUCAGAUGUGAAAUCCCCGGGCUCAACCUGGGAACUGCAUUUGAGACUGCCAGGCUGGAGUUUGGCAGAGGGGGGUGGAAUUCCACGUGUAGCAGUGAAAUGCGUAGAGAUGUGGAGGAACACCGAUGGCGAAGGCAGCCCCUGGGCCAAUACUGACGCUCAUGCACGAAAGCGUGGGGAGCAAAACAGGAUUAGAUACCCUGGUAGUCCACGCCCUAAACGAUGUCAACUAGGUGUUGGGAGGGUUAAACCUUUAGUGCCGUAGCUAACGCGUGAAGUUGACCGCCUGGGGAGUACGGCCGCAAGGCUAAAACUCAAAGGAAUUGACGGGGACCGCACAAGCGGUGGAUGAUGUGGAUUAAUUCGAUGCAACGACGAAAAACCUUACCUACCCUUGACAUGUCAGGAAUCCCGAAGAGAUUUGGAGUGCUCGCAAGAGAG
RNAcentral lists this ribosomal RNA (496 nucleotides) under uncultured bacterium. Its description in RNAcentral is "bacterial SSU rRNA". It matches the Rfam family "Bacterial small subunit ribosomal RNA", at positions 532 to 1026 of the family's 1533-position model. The record is from RNAcentral.